CGUGUAGGCGGCCAGGUAAGUCAGAUGUGAAAGUCCCGGGCUCAACUCGGGAAGUGCAUUUGAAACUGCUUGGCUUGAGUAAGAGAGAGGGAAGUGGAAUUCCUGGUGUAGAGGUGAAAUUCGUAGAUAUCAGGAGGAACACCGGUGGCGAAGGCGGCUUUCUGGCUCUAUACUGACGCUGAGACGCGAAAGCGUGGGUAGCAAACAGGAUUAGAUACCCUGGUAGUCC
This 229-nucleotide ribosomal RNA is filed under the name uncultured bacterium. Its description in RNAcentral is "partial 16S ribosomal RNA". It matches the Rfam family "Bacterial small subunit ribosomal RNA", at positions 568 to 796 of the family's 1533-position model. The record is from RNAcentral.